UUUAAAAGUGUUCAUGAAUUCCUCUAAAAGAAACAUUUGCUUUUUAUCAACUGAGAUAUAUUCUUUUCAUAUCUCUAUCUACAUGUAUACUCUAACUUGAAGAGUGAAUAUGUAUGCCUACUACUUAAAUUGUUUUAAAUUUUCUGUCAUGAAUGAACUAUAGUACUAAAUAACAUCUAAAAAGUUAGCCUUUCUUCUUUAAGUUGAAUUUCUUCUCUUCAGAAGAUGCAUUGAUUUAAAUAUGAAUGACCAUUCCCAUCAUUCAAUAUAUAGAUUCACCACUGUAGUAGACUCCUGAUCCUUUUUGCUAGGAAAAAGGAAGUCCAUAUAUCCACAGUACUGGAUAUAUGUUAAGUUCUACCUGCUCAGCAAAUAUGCACUAUUUUCUUUCUUUCUUUCUUUUUUUUUUUUUUGCUAUUGCAAGCACUCCUAUUUCCUUUUCCAGAGCCACCCUAUCUCAUUCUCAUGGUUCAAGGGUAUGAAGGUGGCCCAGUGAAAUUCAAUUUCAAAAUAUUUUCUGAAAUUUGGGGAAAGAAGACUUAUUUCUAUUUGUGAUAAUGCAGCUAAUAGGCCAGACAUUUGGAGAUAUAAUGAUCAUCUAGCCAAAUUUGAACAGAAGAGGCUGUCUGCCUUCUUAAGGGUGAAACCAAUAAAGGGAGAAGUAAGAUUAAGACUUGAGAAAAUGCAGGUUCCUGAAUCCACAUUUGAACUUCUGGAGUCUGUCAUUCCUAAAAUUGAAACUAAGUUACCCUUUUCAAAGAAGUUGUAAAUUUGCAAUUUCAGUACAGGGUGUUUUUUUUUGUUUGUUUGUUUUUUGUUUUUUGCUACAAAGAAGGUUUUAAAUAGUUCAAAAAUACUGCUACUAAAGCAUCCUUUAAAUGGAAACAUUCUAUUACAAGAAAAAAUUCAAACUCUCUUCAAUGUGAAUUAUUUGGGAAGGAGUACCAAUUCAGCCUUUAUGGACUGUAAAUUUUCUAUGUUAUAAUAGGUACUAGUGAACUUGGUUUUUCAAUUUGUAGAUUACAUGUGGUUAUUUGUUCAAACACAAUACUUCUAAAAAUUUAACUGGUUUCAAUGAAGAUAUAUUAAUAUGAAAUAACUUAAUAUGAAACUGAGAAACAUUGAUGAGUUUCUUCAGUCAUAGCACAUAAACACUACCUAUAAAAUACAUCAGUGCCAGCUGUAUUUAGUAUUUUUUGAUUUGUGUUUUAUAUCAGCUUUUCAGAGGAAUGUUAAUGCAGUUAUGGAGAAUGUCCC
RNAcentral lists this long non-coding RNA (1257 nucleotides) under Capra hircus (goat). RNAcentral describes it as "lncRNA (ENSCHIG00010002249.1)". Lineage: Eukaryota; Metazoa; Chordata; Mammalia; Artiodactyla; Bovidae. The record is from RNAcentral.